This 1238-nucleotide long non-coding RNA is filed under the name Anolis carolinensis (green anole). RNAcentral's name for it is "lncRNA (ENSACAG00000040619.1)". The record is from RNAcentral. Lineage: Eukaryota; Metazoa; Chordata; Lepidosauria; Squamata; Anolidae.
AUGGCAUAUUUCCAUGUGUGUUGCUAUUAUGCCAUUACUCUUCUUAGCAUCCCUUCUUUUCCGCCGGCAGGCCCCUCUACUUGCCCAUCCGCGUCCUCAUCACCGCCGAGACCUUCACCCUUUCCAGCAACAUCAUUGUGGACACCUCGGUCUUCCUCCUCCGGUUCAUUCUGGACGACUCUGCCCUAUACCUCUCAAAUAAAUGUGACACCGAGACAGGAGACUUGAGGAAAGACUACAUUUGCGUUGUGGAUGUGGACCUCUUGGAGUUGGUGAUCACCACUUGGAAGGGGGCCACCACCGAGAAGCUGGUGAGUUCUCCAGUGGAAGAGUAACAAGGACCUUUCUUUCACUGAGAAGCUCUAGGUGUUGUUGCUGUGAUUUUUUCAGGCUGUAAUUGACUAUGUUCCAAUAGUAUUCUCUCCUGAUUUUUCACCUGUAUCUGUGGCCAGCGUCUUCAGAGGUUCUGUUGGCAUGAAGCAAGUGAAAUGUGUGUGUGUCUAUAUAAUGCUUUCCUUCACCCUUUUUCCUUCUGCCUCGUUCACUUGCCGGAUGUGGUUGUUUAGGCCUGUUGUCCUCCUCCCUCACGUUACGCAAUCCGCCAAGGGUGGGGGGCUACUCUGCGGCAUGCGCACAAUGCAAUUUUAGUUUUGGGGGGGUUUUGAGUGACUUCCAGUUUGAAUUUUUUUUUGGUUUUGAUGUCUAAACACAGCGGGGAUGACCAUGUCUUUUGUGGCCAUGUUUCGUGGGUUUUGGGUGUUUAGUUUUGCUGUUUACUUUAAGGCAGAAAUGGUCAGAACAUUUACUGUAUAUACUCGAGUAUAAGCCUAGUUUUUCAGCCCUUUUUUUAAGACUGAAAAAGCCCCCCUCGGCUUAUACUCGGGUGAGGGUCCUGGUUGGCUUAUAUUUGUGUCAGUUUAUACUCAAGAAUAUAUGGUACAUUUAUUAUUUUUCUCUAUUAUUAUUGGUAUUAUUACAUUUAUUUUGCUCUAUUUUAAUAUUGUUGUUAUUAUUAUUAUUAUUAUUAUUAUUAUUAUUAACUGCAUUUCUAUACUGCUUUUCUCACCCCUGGGGGUUUACAAUAUAAAGCGGUUUACAACAUAAUAAAUGGCAAAAUUCAAUGCCUUAAAAUAUAUAUAAAUAUAUCACAUAUCUAAAUAAAAUACAUACAAUUGUAGAUUAAAACCAUUAAAACUAUAAAAACAUCAAAGACAUAUGCAUAAAACUUGCUAUUACAG